GGGCGCAUAGCUCAGCUGGUUAGAGCACCUGCCUUACAAGCAGGGGGUCAGGGGUUCGAGUCCCUUUGCGCCCA
RNAcentral lists this transfer RNA (74 nucleotides) under Microlunatus parietis. It matches the Rfam family "tRNA". From Rfam's summary of the family: Transfer RNA (tRNA) molecules are approximately 80 nucleotides in length. Their secondary structure includes four short double-helical elements and three loops (D, anti-codon, and T loops). The record is from Rfam by way of RNAcentral. Lineage: Bacteria; Bacillati; Actinomycetota; Actinomycetes; Propionibacteriales; Propionibacteriaceae.